This 334-nucleotide RNase P RNA is filed under the name bovine gut metagenome. RNAcentral describes it as "Bacterial RNase P class A". It matches the Rfam family "Bacterial RNase P class A", at positions 33 to 352 of the family's 367-position model. Rfam says of the family: Ribonuclease P (RNase P) is a ubiquitous endoribonuclease, found in archaea, bacteria and eukarya as well as chloroplasts and mitochondria. Its best characterised activity is the generation of mature 5'-ends of tRNAs by cleaving the 5'-leader elements of precursor-tRNAs. Cellular RNase Ps are ribonucleoproteins. The record is from RNAcentral.
GGUGCUGCAGGAGGAAAGUCCGGGCAACACGAGCCACCAUACUUCCUAACAGGAAGGCGGCAGGAAGGCAAGCGUCCUGCUGACAGCAAGUGCCACAGAAAGACAAACCGCCUACGGGCAAGGGUGCAAGCGCGAGGUAAGAGCUCACGACAGACGGCAGCGAUGCCGUCCGAUGGCAAACCUUAUGGGUUGAAAGACCAAAUAUACCGACAGUUAAGGGCAGGCUCGCCCGUUGUCGGGGGGUAGGUUGAUAGAGGCCGAUGGCGACGUCGGCAGUAGAUUGAUGAUAGAGGCUGUCGCACGCGACAGAACAGAACCCGGCUUACGAGGUUGC